RNAcentral lists this ribosomal RNA (316 nucleotides) under uncultured eukaryote. Its description in RNAcentral is "partial 18S ribosomal RNA". It matches the Rfam family "Eukaryotic small subunit ribosomal RNA", at positions 1470 to 1796 of the family's 1831-position model. The record is from RNAcentral.
CCCUUAGAUGUCCUGGGCCGCACGCGCGUUACACUGAUGCAUUCAACGAGCUUAUAACCUUGGCCGAGAGGCCUGGGCAAUCUUGUUAACGUGCAUCGUGAUAGGGAUAGAUUAUUGAAAUUAUUAAUCUUGAACGAGGAAUUCCUAGUAAACGCAGAUCAUCAAUCUGCAUUGAUUACGUCCCUGCCCUUUGUACACACCGCCCGUCGCACCUACCGAUUGGAUGGUCCGGUGAAGCCUCGGGAUUGGCGCGCACCUCGGUGCCGCCGAGAAGUUGGCUAAACCUUACCAUUUAGAGGAAGGUGAAGUCGUAACA